This 379-nucleotide ribosomal RNA is filed under the name Draconarius triatus. Its description in RNAcentral is "partial 16S ribosomal RNA". Lineage: Eukaryota; Metazoa; Arthropoda; Arachnida; Araneae; Agelenidae. The record is from RNAcentral.
CUCAAUGAAUAAUUCAAUAGCCGCAAUUUACUGUGCUAAGGUAGCAUAAUCACUUGUUUUUUAAUUAAAAACUAGAACGAAAGAUUUAACAUUUUCUCUUCUUUAUUAAAUAUUUUUAUUAAAUUUAUUUUAAAUAUAAAAAAAUAUUUAUUUAUAAAAAAGACGACAAGACCCUAUUGAACUUAACUAUUGUUUAACUGGGGCAGUUAAUUAAUUAUAAUUUUAAUUAAAACUUUAAAAAAAUCUAAUACAAUUAAACCAAUAAGUUACCAUAGGGAUAACAGCGCAAUAAUUUUCUUAAGCUCUCAUUAUAAAAAUUGAUUACGACCUCGAUGUUGAAUUAAUAUUCUAUUAAAUGCAAUAAUUUAAUAAGAAAGUC